RNAcentral lists this ribosomal RNA (418 nucleotides) under uncultured bacterium. RNAcentral's name for it is "bacterial SSU rRNA". It matches the Rfam family "Bacterial small subunit ribosomal RNA", at positions 358 to 773 of the family's 1533-position model. The record is from RNAcentral.
GGAAUAUUGGUCAAUGGACGCAAGUCUGAACCAGCCAUGCCGCGUGGAGGAUGAAGGUCCUCUGGAUUGUAAACUUCUUUUAUCUGGGAAGAAAUCCAUUUUUUCUAAAGUGGUUGACGGUACCCGAUGAAUAAGCACCGGCUAACUCCGUGCCAGCAGCCGCGGUAAUACGGAGGGUGCAAGCGUUAUCCGGAUUCACUGGGUUUAAAGGGUGCGUAGGUGGACUGGUAAGUCAGUGGUGAAAUCCCCGAGCUUAACUUGGGAACUGCCAUUGAUACUAUUAGUCUUGAAUACCGUGGAGGUCAGCGGAAUAUGUCAUGUAGCGGUGAAAUGCAUAGAUAUGACAUAGAACACCCAUUGCGAAGGCAGCUGACUACGCGGAGAUUGACACUGAGGCACGAAAGCGUGGGGAUCAAAC